GAUGAACGCUGACAGAAUGCUUAACACAUGCAAGUCUUUGGCGAAGCUGUGCUUGCACAGCCUAGCCAAGGCGGACGGGUGAGUAACGCGUAAGGAACUUGCCCUGCAGUCAGGGAUAACAGACGGAAACGACUGAUAAGACCUGGUAAAGUCAGGCGGACUCAUGUCCAGCCUGAUGAAAAGAGAUGCUGCAGGAGAGCCUUGCGUCCUAUUAGCUUGUUGGUGGGGUAACGGCCCACCAAGGCGAUGAUAGGUAGCCGGCCUGAGAGGGUGGACGGCCACAAGGGGACUGAGAUACGGCCCUUACUCCUACGGGAGGCAGCAGUGGGGAAUAUUGGACAAUGGGGGCAACCCUGACCCAGCAAUUCUGUGUGCACGAUGAAGGUUUUCGGAGUGUAAAGUGCUUUCAGCAGGGAAGAAAAAAAUGACGGUACCUGCAGAAGAAGCGACGGCUAAAUACGUG
This 463-nucleotide ribosomal RNA is filed under the name uncultured bacterium. Its description in RNAcentral is "partial 16S ribosomal RNA". It matches the Rfam family "Bacterial small subunit ribosomal RNA", at positions 28 to 507 of the family's 1533-position model. The record is from RNAcentral.